Long non-coding RNA from Strigops habroptila (Kakapo), 111 nucleotides. RefSeq lists it as uncharacterized. NCBI's taxonomy places the organism in Eukaryota, Metazoa, Chordata, Aves, Psittaciformes, Psittacidae. The record is from RefSeq and is a predicted model, not a curated record. The transcript has 2 exons.
GUGUAAGGUCCUACACCUGGGUCGGGGCAAUCUCAGGCACUGCUACAGGAUGGCCAGAGACGAGAUUCAGAGCAGCCCUGCGGAGAAGGACUUGGGGGUGUUGGUUGAUGA